Podarcis muralis (Common wall lizard) is the source of this 908-nucleotide non-coding RNA. Lineage: Eukaryota; Metazoa; Chordata; Lepidosauria; Squamata; Lacertidae. The record is from RefSeq and is a predicted model, not a curated record.
UGGGUGCCAUUGCCAUCAUAAGAGAACAAGGGAAGCAUUCAUGAGAUCUGUGGACUAUUGCUAUUGAAGACUUACUUUCAUCAAGUUUGAGGAGGGAAAGACAUCUGGAGCUACUUCUUCUGGACUUGUAUUUAUAUACAGAAUCUUAGCAACACUGGCACCAAUACUGGCAUGCUGAAAAACUUUUAUUUCAUGUUGGUUAUCCAUGCUCCAGUGAGCUGAUGACAUACAUUUUAUCCUCACAAGAACUCUGAGGUACGUUAAAGAGAGUGGGCAAAGGGAAGGGGCUAUUGGUUUGUCUUGUCCUUGUUUCUAUUACAUAUUUUGUGUUUUUAUCUUGUAUUUCUAUGCUGUGAACCGCCCUGAGAUCUACAGAUGAAGAGCAGUAUACAAAUUUAGCAACCUGGGAAGGUAGACCAUCCAAGAGAAGGAAAACUCCGACCCUAAACGUCUGCUACCUUGCAGGAUAGGGAGAAGAAAAGGCUAAAGAGUAAGCCCUACACAAAUCCAGAGUUGGAGUCCCUAAGACAGUUGGAUGGUGCCUUGUACUCCUUGUAUGCUUUGGACCACAUCAGCAAGGCUGAAAGGAGGGUCUUGUCACCUGGGCACCCCAGGACCUUCCUACACACUGCCCAGGCUUGCGCCCCAGGGAGGUCACUUCAGUGCUGCUAACACAGCAGUUUGACUUUACCCCUGGAGGAACACUCCAUUGUCUCUUGAGACAGAUGGAUGCCAGCAACAGGCCAUGGCUGAGUUUCAGGGCUGACUGGAGAUUUGCCUCCAGGUCUCCCUAAUCAUAGCUCCCUACUUAUAACCCUAGUGACUAGACCACACUAACUCACCUUCCAUCUAAUUAUUAUUAGGAAACUAAUAGCAGUUUUGGGAUGCGGGUGGCGCUGUGGGUUAAA